ACAAGCAAAUAAAUUAAAACCCCCCCCACCGGAUCUCUUGGCUCUGGCAUCGAUGAAGAACGCAGCGAAAUGCGAUAAGUAAUGUGAAUUGCAGAAUUCAGUGAAUCAUCGAAUCUUUGAACGCACAUUGCGCCCGCCAGUAUUCUGGCGGGCAUGCCUGUUCGAGCGUCAUUACAACCCUCAGGCCCCCGGGCCUGGCGUUGGGGAUCGGCGGAAGCCCCCUGCGGGCACAACGCCGUCCCCCAAAUACAGUGGCGGUCCCGCCGCAGCUUCCAUUGCGUAGUAGCUAACACCUCGCAACUGGAGAGCGGCGCGGCCACGCCGUAAAACACCCAACUUCUGAAUGUUGACCUCGAAUCAGGUAGGAAUACCCGCUGAACUUAAGCAUAUCAAUAAGCGGAGGAA
This 405-nucleotide ribosomal RNA is filed under the name uncultured organism. RNAcentral's name for it is "eukaryotic LSU rRNA". The stretch from base 18 to 171 matches the Rfam family "5.8S ribosomal RNA". The record is from RNAcentral.